GGACUACUGGGGUAUCUAAUCCUGUUUGCUCCCCACGCUUUCGCGUCUCAGCGUCAGUCACCGUCCAGAGGGCCGCCUUCGCCACCGGUGUUCCUCCUGAUAUCUACGCAUUUCACCGCUACACCAGGAAUUCCACCCUCCUCUCCGGGACUCGAGCCCAUCAGUUUCCAAUGCACUUCCGGGGGUGAGCCCCGGGCUUUCACAUCAGACUUAAUGGGCCGCCUACACGCGCUUUACGCCCAGUGAUUCCGAACAACGCUAGCACCCUCCGUAUUACCGCGGCUGCUGGCAC
Molecule: ribosomal RNA, 292 nt
Filed under: uncultured bacterium
Lineage: Bacteria
Description: partial 16S ribosomal RNA
Source: RNAcentral